GGGGAGGGCCGUGGUCCCAGUGAAGCCCCGCCCCUAGUCUCCGACACUGCGGGGCGGACCUGGGCGAUCAGUCCCGAGAGUCUGUCGGAGUCCAGCCGCUGGGCACAAAGAGGCUGGCAUUGCAGAACUGCUCGCCUGGGGCUCUCCUGCGGAGGGAGAAACGCGGCGAAUCUGGACGAGCAAGCCCUCCGCAAACUCCCCUCUCCCACUCAAUUGGGAGGUAAGGCCAGGACCCAAGCUUUGGGUCUGAUCAGUGCUGCUCUGGGCAGCAAAGACGAAAGGCCCCAGCUUACCGCACCUUUUAUUCAGUACUCAGUACAUCCGGAGAAAUAAAUGUAACAAACAACUUGCAGAGAGUUCAGCACAUUGGGGUAAACAAGAUGUAACAAUCCAAGAACAAUGAGGAACUGAGUAGAUGAAGAUUUUGUUCCUCCCAGGAUUUCUUCACCUGGUGUAAUCUUGUCCUGGAGAAUCACAGCAUUACCGGAUCAUUGAGGUCUCAGUUGUGACCGGAGGCCAAAAUGGAAUUAUGUCUCGGAAUUCCAUAGCUGGGCUGUAGACAGGAGAACUAGGCUAACCAAAUGAUUUUUCCCUAAAAUUAUGUAGCAUUGCUCCUGACAAUCCUCUCUGGCCUCAACCUCCCAGGGUGCUCAUAUUAUAGCUUUUAUAUUGCUUUUAGAAGAAAAAUUUUAUUGCACCUGACCAAACCCCAGAGUUUCCAAGGGUCAUCUAUAAGAGAUUGAGUUCCUUCCUUAUCACACACGCAGCUACUGUUUGUACCUUUUCAACAGGGGCUAAAUCCUGUAGACUUUCUUUCUUUCUUUUCUUUCUUUCUUUCUUUUCUUUCCUUCAUUCUUUUUCUUUUCUUUUUUUUUUUCUAAUACUGGCAAUGGAACCUAGGACUUUUCCCUGAGCUAUAUCCACAGCCCUUUUAAAUUUUCUGUUUUGAGGCAGGAUUUCACUGUCACUAAAUUGCCCUAGCACAACCCAAACUUUUGAUCCUCCUGCCUCUGCCUCCCAGAGUACAGGUAUGCACCACCACUUAUGGCCUCUUCAGUUUUGGUAUUCACCAAAGUUCCAUUCUAAGCACGUUUUCACUCUGUUGCCCUUCCUUCAAAUAUCUUUCCCUUAUCUAUCACCUAUAUAAUAGAGCCUCUUGAUUUCUAGCCCUGUGCAAAUAACAGUCUAUUAGAUAUCAAUAUUGGAUAGGAUACUCCUUGACUAUUUCAAACUCAACAUAGCCAAACUGAAACAUCCAUUGCCCAAAUCUGUCACUUGUGUGUAUUCUGUAAGAUAUCCUUGUUAGCAACAUGACUACUUAGGCCCAAGACUCCAGAUGUUAAGCUUCUGUUUAUAUAACUCAAUUGCAUUUUACUAGGUGGUGUAGUUGAAGAUUCAGGAUGAUGAAAACCUGUUUCCUCAUUAAAAAAAAAAAAGUUAACAAUGAUGGUAGCCAUAUGUGGUAAACAGUAGUACUCAAACUUGGCAUCUAUAUUAGCGUUCUCAUUGCUGAAAUAUAAUAGCUGACACCCAGAACUUCAAUGAGAGCUUCAGUUGGCUCACAGUUUCAGUCUAUGAUGAGCUGGCUUCAAGGCUAAAACAUCAUGAUGAAAGGAUAUGGCAGAGCAAAGCUGCUCAGGUCACGAUGGCUGAGAAACAGCAGGGGAACAGUACCAGAGAGGAAAGUGUGAGAUUCAGACCCAAAAUCAUACACCAUGACCCACCCAGACACCCUCAGAAGUGUGCUCCACUAAUCCCCUGGGGGAUCCCAAAGCCAAUCAAGUUAAAAUAUCCCACCCUGACUGCCACACCAUCGAAAUCAUUUGGAAUAAUUCUGAAGAUGAAAUUCAUGGGUCUACUUUGAAGCUACAUCUGAACAAACAACACAAACAUAGGCUAAGUUAUUUGCUAAGUGAUUUUUAUAAUAACUGGGAAUGUUAGAGGCUGGUUAAAAUAUAAUACAUUCCCACAAUGGAGUCGUCCUCAGCUAUUUAGAAAAAGAGUCAGGAAGAUUUCUAUGAACUCAUAGGAAGUGAUUUCUAAGAUAUUAUAUUAAAGAAGGAAAAUAAUUUUUAGGGUUUGGAUCAUAAAUGUCCCCCUGAGGUCCACAUGCUAAAGAUUUUGUCACUAGCUUAUGGUACUACUGGGAAGUGGUAGGGCUUUUAGAUGGAAGAACCUUGUGGAAGGAAGUUAGAUCAUUGGAGGCAUAUACUUGAAGGGGACAUUGGGACCACUGGCCUCUCCCUUUUUUUUUCUCUUUCCUGACUACUAUGAGCUGAACAACUGUGCUCUACUGCAUGCUACCGAUCCAAUAUAGCCCCAAAACGACAGAGCCAGCCAUCACUGACUGAAACCUCUGAACUAAAAUAAACUCUCCCUCAUACUUGUAGAUUGUGUCAGAUAUUUGUUACAACAAUGGAAAGCUAACUGCAGUACAUAUAGUUUUAACUAUGUGCACAUGUGGUGGAUUGAUUCAUGGUCAAUCUGUAUCACCCAGCUGAACUGAAUCAGCCUGGUCUGGGUGCGGAAGAUUCACCUGAAGAUUGUUACCAAUAGCCAUAAAAAGAGAACUGGAAGGGACGAUCUUGGCCUGUUGAUUUUCUAAGAGAAGCUUGCUACAGAUGGUUUUCCUGAUGCAAACUAGGCUGUUCUCAUCAUUGGAGGUGCUCGGGGUCUCACUGUCACUGGGAAUGGUUGGUGUUUUCAUCAGGGGAGUUCUGAUCUUCACCAUGAGCAUCACUUCCGGGCUCCAAUGUGGAUCCCUCAGCUUGGUGGCACAAAUCCUUCAUCUCACCAGCGUAGGUUUUCUGGCUUCCACCACUGACCUCUGAGCCUUCCUGGUGCAGCUGCUCAAUACGGACAAGCAAGAGACAUUGCCAUGGGCUCUCGGCCACUGGCUGGACUCAUGGAGGACACAGCCUUGGACUCUAAGCCUUUAGCUGGACUUGUGUGGGACAUUGCUGGGAUCCAUGCCCUCAGCUAGAUUCCUUGGGCCCCUAGUGUGCAGUUAAUCUCUCUUGCACUCCUUCGAAUUUGACUCUUUGGGUAAUUAUCAUAAAAUAAUCGUAUAAGUUAUGUGUCCUGUAUUUAAUGUAUUCCCUUGCCAAAUCCUGCUGACUACAACAGCAUAUGUGUGUUUUUUUGUUGUUUUUUUUGCAAAACAACCCACGAACAGUACAGUAGUACCUCGGUUCACCAACUUGAUUAUUCCCAUGUUUCAGUUGCAACCAGAAUCAUAGAAUUAAAUUUGUGAACCAAGGUGCCACUGUAAUGAAAAUAGUUACCUAAAAAGGGGGGUAGAAGCAGGGUAGGAAAGCCUGUAAAAUGUU
This is a long non-coding RNA of Heterocephalus glaber (naked mole-rat), 3329 nucleotides long. The record is from Ensembl. NCBI's taxonomy places the organism in Eukaryota, Metazoa, Chordata, Mammalia, Rodentia, Bathyergidae.